CUACGGGGUGCUCCAGUGGGGAAUAUUGCACAAUGGGCGCAAGCCUGAUGCAGCCAUGCCGCGUGUAUGAAGAAGGCCUUCGGGUUGUAAAGUACUUUCAGCGGGGAGGAAGGGAGUAAAGUUAAUACCUUUGCUCAUUGACGUUACCCGCAGAAGAAGCACCGGCUAACUCCGUGCCAGCAGCCGCGGUAAUACGGAGGGUGCAAGCGUUAAUCGGAAUUACUGGGCGUAAAGCGCACGCAGGCGGUUUGUUAAGUCAGAUGUGAAAUCCCCGGGCUCAACCUGGGAACUGCAUCUGAUACUGGCAAGCUUGAGUCUCGUAGAGGGGGGUAGAAUUCCAGGUGUAGCGGUGAAAUGCGUAGAGAUCUGGAGGAAUACCGGUGGCGAAGGCGGCCCCCUGGACGAAGACUGACGCUCAGGUGCGAAAGCGUGGGGAGCAAACAGGAUUAGAUACCCCGGUAGUC
RNAcentral lists this ribosomal RNA (464 nucleotides) under uncultured bacterium. RNAcentral describes it as "partial 16S ribosomal RNA". It matches the Rfam family "Bacterial small subunit ribosomal RNA", at positions 339 to 795 of the family's 1533-position model. The record is from RNAcentral.